RNAcentral lists this long non-coding RNA (1235 nucleotides) under Equus asinus (donkey). RNAcentral describes it as "lncRNA (ENSEASG00005027120.1)". The record is from RNAcentral. Lineage: Eukaryota; Metazoa; Chordata; Mammalia; Perissodactyla; Equidae.
CUGUCCACGGGGAAGUCCUGUCAUUUUAGAGAAGAACAAAGAUCUCCUCCAAGAAAACAAUAUAUCUCUUUUUCUGAUUUUAAGCAACAUGAUUAUGCUGUCCGUUGCCCAGGGCUUCAGGUACGUGGAAGUAGCUGUCUCAUAGAGCAAAACCACCACCACAGUCAGGUGGGCUGCACACAUUGACCAUCCACUGAGCUGAUUCUUAGGAUGUUGGAGAGGAUGAAUGCAUAAGAGAUACAAAUGAGGAGCAUUGGCAUCGGAAGAAGCAGCACGCUGACCACCAGCAUGAUUAACUGCACCUUGGAAGCAUCCACACAAACCAGUUUCAAGACACCCAGAAUUUCACAAGUGAAAUCAUCGUUGAUGCUAUUUCCACAGAGAUACUGAUGCAGCACAGACAUGGUUUCCAUCAGGGCAGUGAGGCAGCCUGUCACCAAGGAGACACUUGCAAUCUGUACACAAAGCCUCUUGUUCAUGAUGACAGGAUAUAUCAGGGGGUUUCAGAUGACGACAUACUGAGCACACGCCAUCAUGGACAUGAGCACACACUCAGUGGAGUCCACAGCAAGAGAAAAGUACAUCUGAGUGGCACAUUUUGAGAUUGAGAUGAUAUUUUUCCCUGAAACAAAGUUUGCCAGCAUUGGAGUGAGAGCAGAAGAGGUGUACCAGAUGUCCAGAACGGAGAGGUUGCUGAGGAAGAAGUACAUGGGUUACAUCACAAUCCCUGAAGAAGUAAUACAUUGGAGUGAGUGCUGGAUUUAAAGUAAAACAGUUGUGGAUUGGACCUCAGUUCAACUAUUGAUUAGCCAGGAGAUCUUAUAUAGUAUAUAGUUGCGGUAUAUUAAUUGCCUUAAUGACCUAAAUUGUUCACAUCUUUCUAGGUCCACCUAUUCUGAUUUUGCCUCUCAGCAUGUGACUUGAUUUGGUCACUGGGCAUUUUCAAAUAUAAUGCAAGCAGAGACCUGUAAAGCAUUUACAUAAUUAGAUUAGCCCUCUCUCUUCCAUCUGUACUGUUGUUCAUGAGAAUACGUCCACAUUAGCCAACUAGAGGAUGAAAUGCACAUUAAGCAGAACUGAGUUGUCCCAGUUGCCAAAUCCAAGGUCAUCAUAGGUGAGCCAGUGGUCAAUCAAUUCCCAACAAAUAAGUGAGCCUAGAAACAAUCAACGAGCCAACUUGUAGCUGAUUUGAGAUGCAAGGAUAAUCUAGUUGAGAUCACCUGGCUUCAGCCCAG